CCUACGUGAGGCAGCAGUGAGGAAUAUUGGUCAAUGGACGAGAGUCUGAACCAGCCAAGUAGCGUGAAGGAUGACUGCCCUAUGGGUUGUAAACUUCUUUUAUAUGGGAAUAAAAUGUUCCACGUGUGGGAUUUUGUAUGUACCAUAUGAAUAAGGAUCGGCUAACUCCGUGCCAGCAGCCGCGGUAAUACGGCGGAUCCGAGCGUUAUCCGGAUUUAUUGGGUUUAAAGGGAGCGUAGGUGGAUUGUUAAGUCAGUUGUGAAAGUUUGCGGCUCAACCGUACAAUUGCAGUUGAAACUGGCAGUCGGGAGUACAGUAGAGGGGGGCGGGAUUCGUGGGGUAGCGGGGAAAGGCGUAGAUAUCACGAAGAA
Molecule: ribosomal RNA, 371 nt
Filed under: uncultured bacterium
Lineage: Bacteria
Description: partial 16S ribosomal RNA
Rfam family: Bacterial small subunit ribosomal RNA
Source: RNAcentral